GAUCCUCGCUGUAGCGAAAGCUCCCCUUUCAGCUAGCGAGAGAGGCAGGAGGGGUCUUUAAAAUGAAAUCCGAGUGCGUGAAGUCUGAGGCUGCCAAACAUUUACAAUGGCAAACUGACUCCUUACGAUCACGUAUCUUUGCUGCUGUGCAAGGCAAGUGGCAUCAAUGCUUUCAUGCAGCCGAGCGGGGAGGAAGGUAUGCAAAGCUGCUCUUUGGGUUAGAGCCUAUUCAGUCCUGUCACCAGCUUCUCAAAUGCAGACCACCUCAGGUCUGACCUGGGAAGUCAGAAGCAUCCUUUCUAGGAUCCUAGUACAUGGAGGACAGAGAAGACAACGUGUUGCUGUAUCUUCCGCAGGCUCCUUCCAGCACAACAUGGAUUAAUACUGCCCCUUGCUUAUCCCACUAUAUACCCCCUUGGUCCAUGUCAAUGAACUUAAUUGGAGCAAGGCAAAUUGAUACCAGUUGAGGGUCUGGCACUGUGUACCCUUGGAGAUGCUCCUGAUUUAUAGAGAUUGAGGCAGAGAAUCCAACCCCAGGAGGAUUUAAAAGCAAAAAUGAUCAUUAUAAUUCUCUCUCUCAUUAAUAACAACAUGGCACUUUUCUCCCAGCAUGACACAACUUCAGUUUCUUAUUGCCCAUCACACAGUUUCCUCACUGGCAGGAGCAUGCAUGUUCCAAGGUGCUACAUUUCUCUCCUGGUUUGGAGAGAAGGGAAAAAAUAUCAAACAAACCCAUAAAUCAUAAAGCUAGCAAAUGAAAAUAAAUACACUUAACAAUA
This is a long non-coding RNA of Alligator mississippiensis (American alligator), 779 nucleotides long. RefSeq lists it as uncharacterized. The transcript has 2 exons. Lineage: Eukaryota; Metazoa; Chordata; Crocodylia; Alligatoridae. The record is from RefSeq and is a predicted model, not a curated record.